AUGUGAAAUUGCUAUUUUAUAUGCUUGGACUUCUGGUGAGAUCUGGGCUCCUUAGCAAGGGUUAUGAUAUCGUUGUUGUCAUAGUACAGUGCAAUGGCAUCUGAUGGCAUCAUACCUAGUUUUGAAAUGAACUUCUUGAACUAAAAGGCUUUCUUAGUAGCUUCAGAGGUGGCGAUGUACUCAACUUUCAUGGUCGAAUCUGCA
RNAcentral lists this long non-coding RNA (204 nucleotides) under Elaeis guineensis (African oil palm). Its description in RNAcentral is "long non-coding RNA (EGUI_LNC054949)". Lineage: Eukaryota; Viridiplantae; Streptophyta; Magnoliopsida; Arecales; Arecaceae. The record is from RNAcentral.